AUUGAACGCUGGCGGCAUGCCUUACACAUGCAAGUCGAACGGCAGCACGGGUGCUUGCACCUGGUGGCGAUUGGCGAACGGGUGAGUAAUACAUCGGAACAUGUCCUGUAGUGGGGGAUAGCCCGUCGAAAGCCGGAUUGAUACCGCAUACGAUCUUCGUAUGACAGCGGGGGACCUUCGGGCCUCGCGCUAUAGGGUUGGCUGUUGGCUGAUUAGCUAGUUGGUGGGGUAAAGGCCUACCAAGGCGACGAUCAGUAGCUGGUCUGAGAGGACGACCAGCCACACUGGAACUGAGACACGGCCCAGACUCCUACGGGAGGCAGCAGUGGGGAAUUUUGGACAAUGGGCGAAAGCCUGAUCCAGCAAUGCCGCGUGUGUGAAGAAGGCCUUCGGGUUGUAAAGCACUGUUGUCCGGAAAGAAAAACUUGGCACUAAUACGGUCGGGGGAUGACGGUACCGGAAGAAUAAGCACCGGCUAACUACGUG
RNAcentral lists this ribosomal RNA (486 nucleotides) under uncultured bacterium. Its description in RNAcentral is "partial 16S ribosomal RNA". It matches the Rfam family "Bacterial small subunit ribosomal RNA", at positions 30 to 507 of the family's 1533-position model. The record is from RNAcentral.